GUCUGAGAGGCCAUUUCCUUACCAUGUGCACAGAGAAACCAAAAGAGCAGCUUUGCAGAGUGAGAUGAAUCACAGACGCUCAGAAGGAGGCAGAGUGAGCUUCACAAGCUCAAGUGGAUUAACUACUUCUGAGCAUUAGAGACUGAGAUGAAUCCUCCAGAAGAAAUCUCCUUGCAGAUGGUCCGGAGCCACACUGAUUAGAAUGCUUACUGUUCCAGCACGAAGACACGUUUAGAGGCCCACCUGUGAAUGACUGCAGGAGGGAAGAAAUGAGCACAUCCUCCCCAGGGACUGACUGGAACCAGUCUUGGUAAGUAGCCAGUUGACUUUAUUCUCCCCCUACCAUU
Vicugna pacos (alpaca) is the source of this 347-nucleotide non-coding RNA. The record is from RefSeq and is a predicted model, not a curated record. NCBI's taxonomy places the organism in Eukaryota, Metazoa, Chordata, Mammalia, Artiodactyla, Camelidae.